RNAcentral lists this ribosomal RNA (447 nucleotides) under uncultured bacterium. RNAcentral's name for it is "bacterial SSU rRNA". It matches the Rfam family "Bacterial small subunit ribosomal RNA", at positions 331 to 792 of the family's 1533-position model. The record is from RNAcentral.
CCAGACUCCUACGGGAGGCAGCAGUGGGGAAUAUUGCACAAUGGGGGAAACCCUGAUGCAGCGACGCCGCGUGAGCGAAGAAGUAUUUCGGUAUGUAAAGCUCUAUCAGCAGGGAAGAAAAAAAUGACGGUACCUGAGUAAGAAGCACCGGCUAACUACGUGCCAGCAGCCGCGGUAAUACGUAGGGGGCGAGCGUUAUCCGGAUUCACUGGGUGUAAAGGGAGCGUAGACGGCCAUGCAAGCCAGGGGUGAAAGCCCGGGGCCCAACCCCGGGACUGCCCUUGGAACUGCAUGGCUGGAGUGCGGGAGGGGCAGGCGGAAUUCCUGGUGUAGCGGUGAAAUGCGUAGAUAUCAGGGGGAACACCGGCGGCGAAGGCGGCCUGCUGGACCGCGACUGACGUUGAGGCUCGAAAGCGUGGGGAGCGAACAGGAUUAGAUACCCGCGUA